GUGUUAUAUAUCAUAUAUAAAGUAAACUAUCCACAAAGAUCAGGCCGUAUUGGAAUCAAGUCCACUUUUCAUUGACCAAUACAAUAACGACCAAACACAAUUUUUACAUUCAACUUAUAAAUGAAACGACAUAAAGAUAUGUCUUGCACCAACAGAUCUUAAAAGGACCCAAACGCAAGCUAGAAACAGAGCAGCAUUUGUGUAUUAGAGCAUGCCACCACUUGAAUUGUCGCUUAAUGUGCAUUCCUGACAAUCGCAAAGCACAGCUUCCGCUCCUCACCUUUCCGGAAGCCCCACAACUCCACCUCAUCCUCCUCUUGAAGGUAACUGCAGUGCAAUAACCACGGGUAUUCCUUACCUUUGAUCACGAUGGAUCCACUGGCGUCCCAACGAGUGAGCAGCAAGUGGGAAAUAAUCCGGUUCUGAGGGUACACAUCUACCUCCAAUCCCCCAUGAUUCCGUCCCUGAGCACGACUAGUGCUGGGGGCAUUCCUCCUUGCUGUGGGCUGAAGAAGACUGGCAGCAUCCUUCUCGUGCUCGGAGAGCAUGGCGAUGAGGUUGGCCGCAUAUUUAAAUGGGAUGAGGAGGCGGUUCUGCUGCUGAUGAUUGAGGUCG
This 615-nucleotide long non-coding RNA is filed under the name Elaeis guineensis (African oil palm). Its description in RNAcentral is "long non-coding RNA (EGUI_LNC004860)". Lineage: Eukaryota; Viridiplantae; Streptophyta; Magnoliopsida; Arecales; Arecaceae. The record is from RNAcentral.